This is a long non-coding RNA of Lolium perenne, 1481 nucleotides long. RefSeq lists it as uncharacterized. The record is from RefSeq and is a predicted model, not a curated record. NCBI's taxonomy places the organism in Eukaryota, Viridiplantae, Streptophyta, Magnoliopsida, Poales, Poaceae.
ACGGGCGGGAGUCCCGGAGGAGGGUGACGGAUGGCCACAGUAGCUCGCAGCAGGACGACGAUGCAUGAGGGCGCACGGAGCAGGGUGGCGCUCGCCUUGAGGAGCUCGUCCAUGAUCCAAUACCCAGACGAUGGAAAGGUCUAUGCAUGGUCUUUUUGGUCAUGUCGAACCCUUCUGUUGGAUAUGGAGGACGACAAGCAACUAUCUUCUUGGCCUUCUUGUGGUUUAUUGAAUAGCAGCGUCACUGCAUCGAGUGACCGCCAUUACCUCCGUCAUGAACUUGGAUUGGCAGCUGGUCAUACUCUAUUUGAGUUCAAAUAUUCUGCUUAUGAUGCAGUGAGAUAAUAUGCCAGGUACCCUUCCUGUCGCCGCUGCGCCAGAAUGACACUACCUCCACCAAGCAGCAAGUCAUGCAUGUGCGUGCAGUUCACACGCAAGAAAUUCCAACCAGUGAGUAUGAAGCUUUAGAUUUCAGACACCCAGUUGCUACUACUAUCUAGAGGUUUUGCAUAUGCAUGCAGUUCACAUGCAAGAAAUUCCAACCGGCAGUACCUGGAAGUGUUCUGGCAGCUGUGAAUCGACUGUGAGGUCUUCCUUAGGUACCCCUGCAUUACUACCUUAUCAACUGGUGUUAGGUCAUGUUCAGAAACUCUCUGAGCCACUACAGUUUGGUUAUCCAGGAGAUUCACAGACAUCGACAACAACCAUCUGUAGUUUAGGAUCGACUUCUUCCUCUCCUCCUAGGAAUGGCUCUCUCUGUUUGGUGGAAUAGGAAGGGAGCAAGUAGGAAACUGUGAAAAUAAUUCAGGUCUGAUCCUCCACAUCAAGCACCAGGCAACAAGGUCACGAGGAUCCUACUACAGAACUAUUCAUGUCCCUGAUACGCUAAUGGUAACUAUUAGUUCUCCAUGUAACUGUACCAUCUGCUAGCAUCUCCCUGGACCUUGUGACGAUAGAAAUCUCCACCGUCCCCACCAUGAGGGCAUCAAGCAAUCAACUCAGGUCACCUAUCUCCUAUUCUCCUUACUCCAUUCUUAAUUCUGAUACAGUUCUGCUUGUUCAUCACAAACACACAUGAUUGAAGGUGUAUCCAUUCAUUGUAGUCUGUCAAGUGUAGUUCUAGCAGUAAAGUAGAAGCUGAAAAAUAACUUGAACACCCGGCCAUGUUUACCUCCACUGCCCCACUGGUUGAACCGUCCAGUUGUAAUGCAGGAGAGCAGUUUUUUUUGUUGCCGAUGUUAUUUCCCUACUCGCAUGCUCUUUGCUUUGUCACUUAGAAAUUGCAGUGGUAACUUAGUUAAAGAAGACUUGAAUUCGUUAGCACUGACAGAUGAUCAUAUUAUCACUUAGAAAAUGUCCGGCAUGCUGCAAUUAAGCGUUUUCCAUAUAUCUGAUAUUUAAUAACUUCUAACAUGAUUUUGUGUGUUAUUCAUCUUUUCUGAUACCAAAACUAUCACAUACCUGAUAUUUUAUAUGCUUAU